Molecule: unclassified non-coding RNA, 8865 nt
Filed under: Cotesia glomerata
Lineage: Eukaryota; Metazoa; Arthropoda; Insecta; Hymenoptera; Braconidae
Description: transient receptor potential cation channel trpm, transcript variant X1
Source: RNAcentral
GACAGAACUAGAGCUGGCUCGAACUUUGCUUGUGAGAUAGAUGUGUAUAUUUUCCAUGGUGUGGAUGUAAUAAAACACUCAAAAUUAUUCAACGAACAAUUAAAUCAAUAAAUUAACAUGUAACAAUGUAUAUAAUAUAUUAUUUACAUCAAUAAUCAUAGUAACUGACAUAACCUAUAACCUAUUAUGAAACAGUAACUCGGGUUAUAAUUUUUGUAUAGUGAUAAUUAAUUGACAGAAUCACAUGUUUAGUUUUCGGAAUGAAUAUGUCACACAAAAUAUAGAACAAAAUCACAAGCUUAGUAAUGUUAAUUAUCAUUAGAGGAUAAAAUAAGCUCAUGAGUUUUUUUCUUAAGAUAACUUGGUCUUUGGUUCCCCAGGCAACUGUCAUUGUAGCAGAAAAAUUAAGGUAUCAUGUGAGCCAGAGUGAAAUUAUUACAAAACAUAAUUUUAUCAAGAGUAUGAUUUAUUACAUUGUAAUUGGAACCUUUACUGGACCUGAUUCUUUUUUUAUCAAGCAAGCAAUUGGUCUACUCCGUGAAUUCGCCGGAGGAACGUUUACGAUUCGUGAUUCAUGAUUCAUGUUUUAAACAAAAAAAUUAUUGUAAACUUAUCACAGCAAUAAUUUUAGGAAAUUUUAAAAAGUCUUUCACAUGAGUAGGCAUGAUUGAAAAGACUAAAAUUAUAAGAGCGUUGAUUUAUUAUUUAUUAAUAAAGUGAAAAAUAAAAAGAAUAUUAAUAUAAAUAACUCAGCAUGGCAAUAGGAAGUGUUAUUUGUGGAGUAAAUACUCCAAAAACAAAAAGAAAGAAAAACAAGACUCAAGAACGCAGUUGGAUAGAAGCGACAUUUCAAAAAAGAGAAUGUACGAAAUUUAUACCAAGCGCAAAAGAUGAGCACAGGCUCGAAGAAGUUCGGGGAGAUAAAUCUGCCGAGUACGAUGUAGUCACGUCUUCCAGAUGUUGUUGUGGUCAUUCCUAUACUCAUCAUUGUGGGACAGGGGCAGACGUACAAAAUUAUGCAACUGGAAAUGCAGCUGAAGUAGAAAGGGAUCAGUGGUCACCAGGAAAAAAUACACGUUCUUUAGCUACUGAUGCAUAUGGUACUAUCGAGUUUCAAGGUGGCCCUCAUCCUACUAAAGCUCAAUAUGUUCGACUAUCCCACGACACUCGACCAGAGCCAAUAGUUCAACUUUUAUGUCGCGAAUGGAAUUUAGGUUUACCAAGAUUAUUGAUAACCGUUCAUGGGGGUAGAUCUAAUUUUGAACUUCAGCCAUCUUUGAAAAAGGUAUUACGUAAAGGGCUUUUAAAGGCCGCUAAGACUACUGGAGCAUGGAUAUUUACAGGAGGGACAAAUACUGGCGUUACACGUCAAGUAGGCGAUGCUUUGUUAUUAGAACGUGCACAACGUCAAGGUCGUGUUGUCAGUAUAGGAAUUGCACCUUGGGGAAUACUUGAAAAAAACCACGAAUUAGUAGGACGAGGAAAUGAAGUCCCUUAUGACUCAAUAUCAUCUCCGUGGUCAAAAUAUGCGGUCUUAAAUAAUCGUCAUGCUUACUUUUUGCUUGUCGAUAAUGGUACUGGUGGGCGAUAUGGCGCUGAAAUAGUAUUACGACGGAAACUCGAAAAAUAUAUAUCAAAUUUAAAAUUACAACCAUAUACCCAUAGUAGCAUUCCAGUCGUUGCAUUAGUUAUUGAGGGUGGAACUAAUACUGUUAGAUCGGUUCUCGAAUACGUUACUGAUGAUCCUCCUGUUCCCGUAGUUGUUUGCGAUGGAACGGGACGGGCUGCAGAUAUUAUUGCUUUCAUGCAUAAGUAUGCAGUUGAGGGCGAUAGUGAUAGUACAGGUGAUGUCCGUUUGGAAAGUAUGAAAGAACAUUUAUUCGAAAAAAUUAAAGAUACUUUUAAAGUUUCGCAAGAUCAAGCAGCACAAUUAUAUUCUGAAUUACUUCAAUGUACUCGUAAAAAACAUUUAAUCACUGUGUUCAGGAUAACUCAAGAUGGACCACAUGAACUUGAUCAAACAAUUUUGACUGCAUUAUUCAAAUCACAACAAUUAUCUCCAACUGAACAAUUAUCAUUAGCGCUCAUAUGGAAUAGAGUUGAUAUUGCUCGUAGUGAAAUUUUUGUUUAUGGUCAAAAAUGGCCGCCUGGUUCCUUAGAACAGGCAAUGAUGCAAGCUUUACAACACGAUAGAAUUGAUUUUGUAAAACUUCUUCUUGAAAAUGGCGUAUCAAUGAGAAAAUUUUUAUCUAUACCACGUUUGGAAGAAUUAUACAAUACCAAAGAAGGACCAUCAAAUACAUUAGGUUAUAUUCUCCGAGAUGUACGACCACACAUUCCUCGUGGUUAUAUGUAUACCCUUCAUGAUAUUGGUCUUGUUAUCAAUAAACUCAUGGGUGGAGCAUAUCGAGCUCAAUAUACUCGUAGAAAAUUCCGAAUGGUUUACGCCAAAGUUAUGAAGCGUUCAGGAAUUCAUAAUAUGUCAGCCCAUCGAAACAGUACGGCUGUAGCAAUGGCACGUUAUUAUACGGGAUUCGGAGAAAAGUCUCAUGGUUUAACUAUGAGUCUAUUAGCUGAAACACUGCCAGCAAAUCGAGAUACACCUUUAUUUGAUUAUCCGUUUAAUGAAUUACUCAUAUGGGCUGUGUUAACAAAACGACAGCAAAUGGCACUUUUAAUGUGGCAACAUGGCGAAGAAGCUUUAGCGAAGGCUCUUGUUGCUUUAAAAUUAUAUAAAGCUAUGGCCCAUGAAGCAGCUGAAGAUGAUCUAGAAACUGAAGUUUAUGAUGAGCUCCGUGGUUACGGAAAAGAAUUUGAAAAUAUUGCUUUGGAAUUGUUAGAUUAUUGCUAUCGACAAGAUGAUGACCAAACUCAACAGCUAUUAACUUCUGAACUUCAAAAUUGGUCUGGACAAACUUGCUUAUCCCUUGCAGUAACAGCUAACCAUCGACCGUUACUAGCUCAUCCAUGCAGUCAGAUUAUUUUAGCAGAUUUAUGGAUGGGUGGUCUGCGAACACGAAAAAAUACGAAUUUAAAGGUGGGUCUUGGAUUGCUAUUUCCGCCAUAUAUAGCACAACUAGAAUUUAAGACUCGAGAAGAGCUGCAGUUGAUGCCUCAGACGCAAGAAGAACAUUUAAUUGCUUUAGAAGAUGAAAAUGAGGACAGUGAAUCAGAGCACGGUGCUUCACCAGGACCAGACGUUGAGAAACGGCCACGCAGAAGUCUCAGUAUUUGCAACAAACCUGACAAUCAACCAGGCAUAAAGGCUCUGAUAACCAAUGAGCAUAAUCCUGCCAUCAUCAAAGAAACAAUAGUUCAAGAAAAUGGCAAAGUUCUCACUGAAAUAGAUGACAAUCUUCAUCGGCCUUAUGGUAUUUUAUCAGAGUAUUAUGAUAAUAAAACUAACAGGCCAUUACGUCUAAAAAAAAAGUUAUGGGAAUUUUAUACAGCACCAAUAACUAAAUUUUGGGCAAAUGCCAUAGCAUACAUACUAUUUCUGAUUUUUUUCUCGUAUUCUAUCCUCGUUCGAAUGGAAGAAUAUCCAGGAUGGACAGAAAUUUAUUCAAUAGCUUAUAUAUGCACAUUGGGAUGUGAAAAAAUUCGAGAAAUCGCAACAUCGGAACCCGCUACUUUAUCACAUAAAUUUAGCGUUUGGUCAUGGAAUAUGUGGAAUCCAUGUGAUGCUGGCGCUAUAAUUAUAUUCAUUAUUGGUUUAGGACUCAGAUUUCGUCAAUCAACAUUUGAUUAUGGUCGUGUCAUCUACUGCGCGGAUAGUAUAUAUUGGUAUCUUAGAAUUCUCAAUAUUCUUGGUGUCAAUAAAUAUCUUGGUCCGUUGGUUACUAUGAUGGGUAAAAUGGUGAAAAAUAUGAUAUACUUUGUUGUUCUUUUACUUGUGGUGUUGAUGAGUUUUGGGGUAGCAAGGCAGGCAAUUUUAAAUCCCAAUGCAGAACCGAAAUGGCAAAUCCUUCGAGAUAUAUUUAUGGAGCCGUAUUUUAUGCUUUAUGGAGAAGUGUAUGCAAACAAUAUCGAUCCUGAGUGUGGCGAAGAACCUAGUAUGAAACCGUGUUCACCAGGUCGAUGGAUAACGCCAGCCGCUAUGUCGAUUUAUUUAUUAGUAGCUAAUAUUCUCUUGAUAAAUCUUUUGAUAGCUGUUUUUAACAAUAUUUUUAUUGAAGUAAAUGCGGUAGCUCAUCAAGUAUGGAUGUUUCAAAGAUUUACUGUAGUAAUGGAAUAUGAGCAAAAACCUGUUUUACCUCCUCCAUUUAUUGCAGUAAGUCAUCUAUACUUAUUAGGCAAAUAUUUAUUACGGUAUAUAACACAAGGUGAAAUGCGCUCUGGAGAAACGUAUGAUAAUGGUUUAAAGCUUUUCUUAGAGGCUGACGAUAUGGAGCGUUUAUAUGAUUUUGAGGAAGAUUGUGUCGAAGGUUACUUUAGAGAGCAAGAAUUAAAGCUUCAAAUGUCAACGGAGGAACGUGUUAAAGUUACAACUGAGAGAGUAGAAAAUAUGCAUCAAAAAAUUGAAGAUAUUGAUAAAAAAGAACACAAUCAGAAUGCUUCACUACAAGCUGUUGAAUUUCGUAUUCGAAAACUUGAAGAUCUAAACGAACAAACUCUAGCUUGUCUUGGUGUUAUUCAUCGUUUUAUGGCAACUCAUAUGUCUGAUGAAAAUUUAGCUAAUCUAGAUGGUGAAACGCGUCCAAGAAGAUUUUCUGAGAGAUCUGAAUUGGUAUCUGAUACUGAGUCUCAUACUCAUAUUCCCACUGUAUUACGACAGAAACGUUUAAUACGAUCAUUAACUGAUGCAACAGUGCUUCACAGCCCAUUUGUUGACGACGAAACUUUAAAACACUCAGAGACUUUAACAUCUCGUGAAAAUCUUAGCAGAAAUGGAUCUUCUUCUAGUGGUGAUAUUCCUACAACAGGACCAGAUGAUAAGAAAACAUUAACAACUAGUCAAGAAGAAAGUGCUGAAAGUAAAGAUAUUAAUGAACCUGAAUUGAAACCACUGAGGCGAGAAGUUGAACGAGAUACAAGUAGCGAUAUAGCAAUAUCAGAUAUGCGGCAAGAUUCUUCAGAACGCCCGACUAGACAAAGCAGUCGAACUCGAUCAGAAUCUGAUGAUGCUGUAUUGCUUGCACCACCUUGUUUACAACGAGGAAUUAAAUGGGGUGAACCUCGUGUUGCGAUGAUCCCUCCAGGAUCUUCUGGUGGAUCUAAUCAAAGGUCACUUUUACGAGCUAUGCGUGCUGAGUACACCAGUAUUACUGAUGAAUUAGAGAGUUACUGUGGGCUUUUAAGUCCUCCGCGAACUCCUCCAGUAUCUCCUCCACCUUGUAGAUCAAAAAAUGCUGUCGCAAUGAAUCCAGAAAUGGCAUGGCAAAUGGAAAAUGAACACUUACGUGAUGCUGAAGAAUGUGAUUAUCAACAAAUGGAGGAUCUUAUUCAUAGAAGAUACAUGAGAAGUAGUGAUGAAGAUUCAGAUAAUGAAGAAACCUCUAAAUUUAAAUUUAGUGUUACCAAUGAACAUAGAAUGUUGCGCAGAUCAUCAGCUAUUGAUGAAGAAUCACGAAGACCACCACCAACUAUUAGCGUUACACGGGAAAUCGAACAGACAUUGUCGAGACCACCAGCUAUACGUGAAGCUGAUGAUAAAGAUCCAACUGAUGAAGGAACUGUGCCUGCACCAGCUUCCGAAACUAUGUGUUAAUUUUACAGCAUUAACACAUUAACGUAAUACUUUGGAAUGGCCCAUUUUCUAAAAUAUCAACUUUACAUGAAUGAUGAGGACUGAUAAUUCUUUAAAUACAUAUUGAUAUGUAUUUUCUUUUAAUUAUGCUGCAUUUCAUUUGAUAAGUACCGUUUAUAAUACGGCAAUAUAAUUCUAAAAAGGUUCGUUAUUCUUGACUGAUUCGAGAAUACUGUCCAUUAAUUAAUGAAAUGUUUUAUCAGUAUAUUUAUAUUAAAUUUUAUAUAUGUUUUUUUUUAGGAUUUAGUUAGUCAUGAAAGUGGUUUUUAAUUAUUACUUGAAUAUUUUUAUAGCUACAUUUUUAAUGUGCAUGUAUGAAAUAGAUAAAAAUAUAAAUCUUCGUAACUCAAAUAUCAAAAAUCAACGAAAAAACAAAAGCUUUCGUCUAGAAAAUAUUAAGUAUCAUAUUUUCAGUUAAUUAUAAACAUCAUUAUAAAUUCUAGUCUUUAUAUUGUUAUAUAAUUGAAAUAUUCUACAAUUGCUCAAUAGUCACGUGUAAUCUACUUUGAAUUGAAUUUAAACUAAUUGUACAUAGAAAAUCAACUUUUAAUUUAUUAUUUGCUUUAUUAUAUAUCAGUUUUUAACUUGAAUGUAAUUUUAUAAUCAUUUUUUUCAAAAGCUUUUUACCUACUGACUAUGCUCAAAUCUAUUGUAUUUUAAGACACCUUGUAAAUAAUCUAGUAAAAAUUUUCAGCCGCACUUUUUUUAAAUUUAAUUACCAUAAAGCAUGAAAAUAAACAUUUUUCAACACUUUUAAAUGCUUGUUAAGCUUUAUCGUGCUUCAUCUAUAGAUCAUUGUUUCUACUUUAUCUAUACGAAAAAUUUACACAAAAAAAUAUUUUUUUAAUCUUAUAGUCUCUAUAAUAAUUUUAAGCCUGCAAAAAUUCCAAAUUUUAUUUCGUGAAAUGAUAGUUCUAGGAUUGUCUUUUAAAACAAUAUUUUAAAAAAGCUUUAGUACUUAAUUAAUUAUCGAUUAUUAUGUAAAAUCUUAAUUUGUAAAAUUAAACACUUAAAAUAAAGAGUUAUAAAACUCCAGUACUUUGAAUGAUGACAAAGUUUUUCAAGCUUAAAAUUAAUUAUUUUAAUUAUAAGAUGAUAAUAACAUUCUUGGAUACACCAAAUUAUCUGUCGAUAAGUUUAUAUUAAUUGCUUAGAGAAGAAAUGGAAUUUUUUUAUUGAACAUCACAGAAAAACCUUAACUCCAUAUAAAAAAAUUCUGAAAUAAUGGGCUGAAUUCCAGAGUACAUAUGUCGUAUUUUAAGCUUCGUAAUUAAUUUAAAAAAGAAAUUAAUAAAAAAAAAUCUCGAAUUCUUUUAGUUAUUAAAGAACGAUUCCGGCCCAUAUGAGUUGUAAAGAUCAUUAAAUGUUACGUUUAUAAUUUGAUUUUGAAAUAAGUACUAUUAAUGUAUAAAAUUAUGAUUCUUGUACUUUCAUGAUAUGGUUUUACACGAUUUUAUUACAUCAUAUGGAAAUUGUAUAUAUUUUAUUUGACUUUUGUUUCUGUGUAAUCAUCUGUUUUAAAAUAAUGUAUGCAUAGGUAUAUAUUUUGUGUGACAUGAAUAAUGUUUAUUAUUAUUAUUAUUUUUUAUUAUUUUCAUUAUUAUUGUCACUACUUAGAUCAGUCUAAACUAUUUUUAUGAUAUAUAACAAAAAUGGUAUGUUCGAUUAACUGAUUUUAAAUUCUUAUAACAAAGUAAUAAAAUGAAAAAACCACUGAAAAAAAAGUACAAAAAAAAAAAUCGGAUUAGAAGAUUCAAAUUUUACCUAUUACCAUAGAGUAGGUCAUAGACUAUUAUGUAAUCGUAAUAUCAUUAAUUUCAAACUAGUUAUAUUUUGGUGUAUAAAUCUUAAAAUAGCAUAUAUUUAUAGAAAAAAUCAGAUAUAAUUUAUUAUAAUUAAAAUUUGCUCCAAUAUGUUUAAAAAAGUAUUAAAAAUUCUCAUUAUCUUUGAUUAAUUAAUAAAAAAUUUUUGAAAUCCUAAUGAAAACAAACAUAUUCUAAUUGAAGAACAAACAUUCAUCAUAUUUUACGAACUGUUGUUCUUCAUUGUUUUUUUAAAUUAUUGAUAAAAUGAAACUGCCAAUUUUUUCACGAUAUAAUCAAUUUUGUAUAAUUAUAUAUUGUAUUUCAACGUAAUUAACAAACAUAUUUAUAUCUUUAACUAUACUACAAUACUAUAUUUAAUAAAAUGUAUCUGAAUAUAAUUAUUAAGUAAUCCGACUUACUAUGAUUAGUGUUUUAUCUCAAAUCAAAAACCGACUUGGCCUUGGUAUUAAAUAUUUUACUUUUAAAUCUAACCAUAUUUUUUUAACCAUUAAGUAUAUUUAAAGUACAAGUUGAAAAAAAUUCCGUUUUAGUAAAACUACUCCAAUAAAUUUCCAAGGACUUCCUUUUUUAGUAUAUUUUGAAUAGUUUAUUCAUAAGAUAAAUAAAUUAGUUGAUAUAAUUUUUAUAACUUCAUGUAUAGAAUCAAAUUUAAUUUAAGUCGUUUAUUUUAUCAAUUUUUGGCUAAAAUUAUUUAAAUUGCUUUAUUUAUCAAAUAAGAUUUUUUCUGUUUUUCACCUUAUUCAAUGACAUGUAUUGAACGUGUAAUUAUUUGAAUAUCUUGAUAAUUAAAUAAAUAAUAAAUGUAGAAUUUUACUUAAAUUAUUAGUAUUAUUUGUUCAGUGCCAUUAGACACAAAAUAAAAUGAAGACAAUCAAAAAUAAUGAGAAUUAUAAUACACCAAAAACAUAGGCAGAAUAUACAUGCCUUCUAUCACGAACAACAAAAACUAAAGAGCUCAAAUACUUGGUAUUCUUGCUGAGACGAUAUUUUAUGAAAAAAAAAUUGUAAUAAACUUGAAAUUAAAUAUUGAAUUGAAAUAAAAUAUUGCAAUUUUGAAAAUGUGUUGAUGUUCCGCAAUAAUUAUAUUUAUAAAACAAUAGUCUUUCAGAGAUUAUAUUUGACAUAUCGAUUAGUUAAAUAAACUGUCGUUAAGUGUAUAUAUAUCUAUAUGUGCAAAUAUACAUAAGUAUUACACGAAAAUCAACGAGAUAACUGACGCAAUAGUAACCAUAAAUUACUAGAAUCACUUUUUGUUUAAAACAUUUUAAAUGAAUAAAAACUAUGUAACAAUUA